Molecule: long non-coding RNA, 201 nt
Organism: Pantherophis guttatus
Lineage: Eukaryota; Metazoa; Chordata; Lepidosauria; Squamata; Colubridae
Source: RefSeq, a predicted model, not a curated record
AAGGAAGAAAGUGCUCUGAUCAGCUGCCGGUAGCAUGCCGUUGACUUUUAUGGUCAGGAGGGAGGAGCUGCUGUUCAUUGUUGUUUCUUGGGCAUUAAUUUUGAGGAAACCUUUCAAGUCCAAGAGUCUAUUCAAAACAAGAUGACCUUUUGAUCCAGCAAUUAGACAGCAUCCUCCAUGAUCCAUGAAUCAAAGUGAGCU